This is a long non-coding RNA of Amborella trichopoda, 543 nucleotides long. RefSeq lists it as uncharacterized. The record is from RefSeq and is a predicted model, not a curated record. Lineage: Eukaryota; Viridiplantae; Streptophyta; Magnoliopsida; Amborellales; Amborellaceae.
CUGUUUGAGCAUCCUAAGCCAUGCCUUCAAUGAAUUGUGGUUUUCCUUGAGGUUUCCUCUUUCCAUGAAAAAAAAAAGGAAUUAAAAGAAAAAAAAAAAAAAAAGAAGAACUUGACGUGAUGAAGUCAAUAGGAAUGUUUUGGGUUCCAUUUAACUUCUCAAGCUAUUUCUACCCAAUCCCGCGUUUAGUAUAGUUCUUAAUCUGUUCCGAAGUUGAACCAUAGAUUCCAUAAAUCGGAUACAAAGUCCUCAAAGUAAAGGAGCCGAGAACCAGGAAUUGCAGAAAUGGCCAGCAAUGGAAGAAACAAUCUGCAGAGAUUCGAAUUCGAUGUAUUCCUGAGCUUCAGGGGCAAAGACACUCGAAAGAACUUGACGUCCACGGAAUCCUGUGUGGUAUCUAAAUGAGCUUAAGCAGAAGGAGCGAUACGGCGAUGCUGAUGUGGAGAAAUGGAAGAAGGCUCUGAGAAAUGUGAGAUUGAUGUCGGAAUGUUACAUUAAUGAGGAUGCAGGGGAUGAGUAUGUUCAACCUCAUGUGUUUUACCA